AGAGUCUGACUGUGCAACCUGCAGUGGUCAGGGGUCACUGGCCCAGACUACUUCCUCUCUGAUUGCUAUGAAGAUAUGAUGAGCGGAGUGUCGCAAUGGGGCUCAUCAUAGCUGGGUUAGUGACUUGCAUGAUAAACUCAGAGCCUCCAAAUGGGUUAUGGUAUUGCAGAAGUGAUACUGAAAGAAAUGGGCCUACUCACCUUCAUUAGAGGUGGCAACUUGACGCGGCUGACUUGUGGAGGAGGCUGAUUCAGAAACCCGUUGCUGGUUACCCGGAGGCUGUGUCUGCAGUCGGUUCCAGCGUGUAUGGAAGCCGAUGAUGAAUCGUUAUCUCCGGGCGGUGUGUGGGUUGUCUGUGUAAUAAAGUAGGGACCAGAAGCGGAGACAAUAGGAAUUUGUCACAGUUUGGUUCUCGACAUUUUCGGCGACCUGUCCCCCUCCCCAUGGGUGUAAGAUGUUUUGGAUGACUUGGAUAGAUUUGCAAACAACUGUGCCAUUGUUUGCAAAAUAGGAAAAGAGUUAUAGGUUACGUCCAAUAUCAACAAUAAAUACAUUUUGACAAUACUUAAUACUAAUAUUACAAUAGAUGGAUGCAUGUAUGCAUCAACACGUGUCACAUUUCCCAAAAUAUGUAGCCUAUUAAAAGAAGGGAUGUAGGUGUGUUUUGAAGGCUAUGUCUGAGUCUGAACGUUAUUGUCUCUAAAAUGUUGUUAGCU
Alosa alosa (allis shad) is the source of this 716-nucleotide long non-coding RNA. RefSeq lists it as uncharacterized. The record is from RefSeq and is a predicted model, not a curated record. Lineage: Eukaryota; Metazoa; Chordata; Actinopteri; Clupeiformes; Clupeidae. The transcript is spliced from 3 exons.